GCUGAGGUAGCUCAACUGGCAGAGCAACGGUUUUGUAAACCGUAGGUUGUGGGUUCGACUCCCAUCCUCAGCU
RNAcentral lists this transfer RNA (73 nucleotides) under Elusimicrobiaceae bacterium. Its description in RNAcentral is "tRNA-Thr". It matches the Rfam family "tRNA". Rfam says of the family: Transfer RNA (tRNA) molecules are approximately 80 nucleotides in length. Their secondary structure includes four short double-helical elements and three loops (D, anti-codon, and T loops). The record is from RNAcentral. Lineage: Bacteria; Pseudomonadati; Elusimicrobiota; Elusimicrobia; Elusimicrobiales; Elusimicrobiaceae. RNAcentral also lists the same sequence under 2 other names.